Molecule: ribosomal RNA, 254 nt
Filed under: uncultured bacterium
Lineage: Bacteria
Description: partial 16S ribosomal RNA
Rfam family: Bacterial small subunit ribosomal RNA
Source: RNAcentral
UACGUAGGGGGCAAGCGUUGUCCGGAUUUAUUGGGCGUAAAGCGCGUGUAGGCGGAUGAGCAAGUCUGCUGUGAAAGCUCCUGGCUUAACCGGGAGUGGUCGGUGGAAACUGCUCGUCUGGAGGACGGUAGAGGUAGGUAGAAUUCCCGGUGUAGUGGUGAAAUGCGUAGAGAUCGGGAGGAAUACCUGUGGCGAAGGCGGCCUACUGGGCCGGACCUGACGCUGAGACGCGAAGGCGUGGGGAGCGAACGGGG